Molecule: ribosomal RNA, 255 nt
Filed under: uncultured bacterium
Lineage: Bacteria
Description: partial 16S ribosomal RNA
Rfam family: Bacterial small subunit ribosomal RNA
Source: RNAcentral
UACGAAGGGGGCUAGCGUUGCUCGGAAUCACCGGGCGUAAAGGGUGCGUAGGCGGGUCUUUUAAGUCAGGGGUGAAAUCCUGGAGCUCAACUCCAGAACUGCCCUUGAUACUGAGGAUCUUGAGUUCGGGAGAGGUGAGUGGAACUGCGAGUGUAGAGGUGAAAUUCGUAGAUAUUCGCAAGAACACCAGUGGCGAAGGCGGCUCACUGGCCCGAUACUGACGCUGAGGCACGAAAGCGUGGGGAGCAAACAGGG